AGGAACUUAGGAUUAAUUAAACCAGAAGCCUUCAAAGCCUCUAAAAAGAGUCAAAUCUCUUAGCUCCU
RNAcentral lists this transfer RNA (68 nucleotides) under Furcifer cephalolepis. Its description in RNAcentral is "partial tRNA-Trp". Lineage: Eukaryota; Metazoa; Chordata; Lepidosauria; Squamata; Chamaeleonidae. The record is from RNAcentral.